RNAcentral lists this ribosomal RNA (418 nucleotides) under uncultured bacterium. RNAcentral's name for it is "bacterial SSU rRNA". It matches the Rfam family "Bacterial small subunit ribosomal RNA", at positions 355 to 776 of the family's 1533-position model. The record is from RNAcentral.
UGGGGAAUUUUGCGCAAUGGGCGAAAGCCUGACGCAGCAACGCCGCGUGGAGGAUGAAGGCCUUCGGGUCGUAAACUCCUGUCAGUAGGGACGAAUGCUUCGAAAGGAGCUUGACUGUACCUGCUGAGGAAGCCACGGCUAACUCCGUGCCAGCAGCCGCGGUAAUACGGAGGUGGCAAGCGUUGUUCGGAAUUAUUGGGCGUAAAGGGCGCGUAGGCGGCUUUGCAAGUCAGAUGUGAAAGCCCCGGGCUUAACUCGGGAAUUGCAUCUGAAACUGCAUUGCUUGAGUCCUGGAGGGGGUAGUGGAAUUCCCAGUGUAGCGGUGAAAUGCGUAGAUAUUGGGAGGAACACCGGCGGCGAAGGCGGCUACCUGGACAGUGACUGACGCUGAGGCGCGAAAGCUAGGGGAGCGAACGGG